Non-coding RNA from Pelobates cultripes (western spadefoot toad), 280 nucleotides. The record is from the annotation of a GenBank genome assembly. NCBI's taxonomy places the organism in Eukaryota, Metazoa, Chordata, Amphibia, Anura, Pelobatidae.
CAUGUUCUCAAUUAACCCAAAAAACUCAUUAAUAUCAAAGCUGAAUAUUUUUGGAAGUAGUUUUUAGUUUGUUUUUAGUUUUAGCUAUGUUAGGGGGAUAUCUGUGUGUGCAGGUGACUAUUACUGUGCAUAAUUAAUAGGCAACUUAACAAAAAACAAAUAUAUACCCAUUUCAAUUAUUUAUUAUUACCAGUGAAACCAAUAUAACAUCUCAACAUUCACAAAUAUACAUUUCUGACAUUCAAAAACAAAACAAAAACAAAUCAGUGACCAAUAUAGC